Molecule: long non-coding RNA, 309 nt
Organism: Malurus melanocephalus (red-backed fairy wren)
Lineage: Eukaryota; Metazoa; Chordata; Aves; Passeriformes; Maluridae
Exons: 3
Source: RefSeq, a predicted model, not a curated record
GUCCUCGUUCGCCGCCCGGCUCUGGAGCUGCUCUCGCUGCUCAAAGGCUCCGAUUUCACCCGGCCCGCGGUCAGAUACCUCAUCUACGGCGAGCGGGGCACGGGGAAGAGUCUGAGCCUGAGCCACGUCCUGCACGGCUGCUGGCGCCAGGGCUGGCUGAUCCUGCACGUGCCCGACGCUCAUGCGUGGGUGCGGAGCUGCCGGGAGCUGCUGCCCUCGUCCCACCGGAGAGAGCGGCUGGAGCAGCCCCUGCAGGCCUCAGCCUGGCUCAGGGCCUUCAAAUCCUGCAAUGAGCGAUUCCUGACAGAG